RNAcentral lists this long non-coding RNA (294 nucleotides) under Malus domestica (apple). Its description in RNAcentral is "long non-coding RNA (MDOM_LNC009085)". The record is from RNAcentral. Lineage: Eukaryota; Viridiplantae; Streptophyta; Magnoliopsida; Rosales; Rosaceae.
AACCAACGCCAGGUGAAUGUGAUAUAUUCCAUAAGUGGUGGCAUACCCAUAUCUAAAUCUUCCAACAGGGCCAUGAAAAAUAGCAAACGUGCUUUAAGGUCUGGCCACCAAGUGUUUCACGUGGAAGACAUCAGGGGAGGUAAACAUCAAAAGCCUAACUGGGUGAUGAAGGAACUCAUCUUCAUGCCACCAACCAGGUGAUGAAAUGUACAACCCGUACUCUAAUAUCAUUUGGCAACUUACCAUUCAUGCCACCAACCAGGGGAAGAAGGAACUCACCUUCGUACCACCAAC